AGUGAACGCUGGCGGUAGGCCUAACACAUGCAAGUCGAACGGCAGCACAGUAAGAGCUUGCUCUUACGGGUGGCGAGUGGCGGACGGGUGAGGAAUACAUCGGAAUCUACUUUUUCGUGGGGGAUAACGUAGGGAAACUUACGCUAAUACCGCAUACGACCUACGGGUGAAAGCAGGGGAUCUUCGGACCUUGCGCGAUUGAAUGAGCCGAUGUCGGAUUAGCUAGUUGGCGGGAUAAAGGCCCACCAAGGCGACGAUCCGUAGCUGGUCUGAGAGGAUGAUCAGCCACACUGGAACUGAGACACGGUCCAGACUCCUACGGGAGGCAGCAGUGGGGAAUAUUGGACAAUGGGCGCAAGCCUGAUCCAGCCAUACCGCGUGGGUGAAGAAGGCCUUCGGGUUGUAAAGCCCUUUUGUUGGGAAAGAAAAGCAGCAGGUUAAUACCCAGCUGUUCUGACGGUACCCAAAGAAUAAGCACCGGCUAACUUCGUG
Molecule: ribosomal RNA, 492 nt
Filed under: uncultured bacterium
Lineage: Bacteria
Description: partial 16S ribosomal RNA
Rfam family: Bacterial small subunit ribosomal RNA
Source: RNAcentral